This 233-nucleotide ribosomal RNA is filed under the name uncultured bacterium. RNAcentral describes it as "partial 16S ribosomal RNA". It matches the Rfam family "Bacterial small subunit ribosomal RNA", at positions 103 to 334 of the family's 1533-position model. The record is from RNAcentral.
CGGGUGAGUAACGCGUGAGGAACCUGCCUCAAAGAGGGGGACAACAGUUGGAAACGACUGCUAAUACCGCAUAAGCCCACGGCUCGGCAUCGAGCAGAGGGAAAAGGAGUGAUCCGCUUUGAGAUGGCCUCGCGUCCGAUUAGCUAGUUGGUGAGGUAACGGCCCGCCAAGGCAACGAUCGGUAGCCGGACUGAGAGGUUGAACGGCCACAUUGGGACUGAGACACGGCCCAG